ACUAUUUUGGCAGAAUAAUUGUAAUAAAUUUAGAAUUUAUAUAUGUAAUAUAUUAAUUUACAAAUAGUA
Molecule: transfer RNA, 69 nt
Filed under: Bradysia amoena
Lineage: Eukaryota; Metazoa; Arthropoda; Insecta; Diptera; Sciaridae
Description: tRNA-Leu
Source: RNAcentral